This 399-nucleotide ribosomal RNA is filed under the name uncultured Sordariomycetes. RNAcentral's name for it is "partial small subunit ribosomal RNA". It matches the Rfam family "Eukaryotic small subunit ribosomal RNA", at positions 30 to 432 of the family's 1831-position model. Lineage: Eukaryota; Fungi; Ascomycota; Sordariomycetes. The record is from RNAcentral.
GCUUGUCUCAAAGAUUAAGCCAUGCAUGUCUAAGUAUAAGCAAUUAUACAGCGAAACUGCGAAUGGCUCAUUAUAUAAGUUAUCGUUUACUUGAUAGUACCUUACUACUUGGAUAACCGUGGUAAUUCUAGAGCUAAUACAUGCUAAAAAUCCCGACUUCGGAAGGGAUGUAUUUAUUAGAUUAAAAACCAAUGCCCUUCGGGGCUUUCAGGUGAUUCAUAAUAACUUUUCGAAUCGCAUGGCCUUGUGCCGGCGAUGGUUCAUUCAAAUUUCUUCCCUAUCACACUUUCGAUGUUUGGGUAUUGGCCAAACAUGGUAUCAACGGGUAACGGAGGGUUAGGGCUCGACCCCGGAGAAGGGGCCUGAGAAAUGGCCACUACAUCCAAGGAAGGCAGCAGG